CACCAUUAUCCACAACCCACGGUUUAUCAAAAGGAGAAGGGCAAGCAGAUGGACCUGUGAAGGAGAGAGCUGGGCCUUUGAGGAGUUCCAUUAAUUGGUUAUAUUGCUCGGCCGAGAGACCAGAAAUUUCACUCAUGGCUAAGGAGUUGGCGGCGGCAAAAACUUGAUGGAUAGCCCGCAAAAAGGAAUAGGUUGUGUUGUGUUUGCUCUUGGAUAACUACCAUUCUAUGUACCCAGUAACCUCAAAGCAUUUGUCAUGUUGACGGCCGGGUUUACCACAUACUUCACAGAGAGGAGUUUCGAUGGGCCAGACCGUUGUGGCAUCGAGCGGGCGAUUAGAGUUGAGGCAUCCGGUCCAGCUGGGUUUAAUUGGAGCAAACGUUGGGUUUCUUCUUGGUAGCGGGUAGUAUAGAAACGAAUAAUAGAAAUGAGUGGUUCUGUGGCUAAAAUCUGUGACCGAAUUUACUGAAAACUCUCAUUAAGGCCCAUGAGAAAUUGAUAAACUCGAUAUGUGUCUUGAGAUUCAGCGAAGGAUUUAUGGGCAUCACAUGUACAUGGAUUGAUUGGUUGCAGGAGCCUAAUUCAUCCCAUAACUCCUUCAAUUUUCCAUAGUAUGAUGUAAUUGAUUUUUGUUCCUUGUGAAGAUUGGCCAAAUCCCAAAACUUUGGUGUGUUUGCUUUGUUAGAAACAGGUUUCUAGUUCUACCCAUAAGUCAUUCGGUGUAGCACAAUAGAGAAGGCUGAUUGUAAGUAAUCGAUCAAUGGAAUGGAGCAGCCAUGACAUUAUUAUGUCACAGCAUCAGUCCCAGAGUAAUACUACAGUGGAGUCUUCGGUGGGUCAUUUGAUGGUGCUGAGAACAAAGCCCAAUUUGUUCUUGGCAUUCAGUGCUCGAGUGAUUGGUCGAUGCCAAGAGGGAUAAUUGUCGCCAUUAAGAGGUGUAUCCACAAGAAACUAAUUUGGUUGGUCAGAUGAAUGCAGGAAGUAUGGGGAUGAAGCAUUAGUGAGAGACUUGUUGAUAUUGAAGGCAAGGGAUUCGACCGCAGAAGCAAAGGUAUGGAUUUCGAAACCUAACACUCUGAUACCAUGUUAUGUUUCAGAUGGAAUGAAAAUAAACUUCAUUGAUUUCAUAUGUAAUGUGUAUUUAUAUAGCAAAAUAAUCUCUAUGAUCCCUUGAAUCAUACGUAAUACAUUCCCAGAAUUAAGCACAAAAUACGUCCCUUUAUCCAUUUUUUAAUAUUUUUUUCCUCCAAAAGAUCGUCCAACAUCGAAUUUCACCUAAACAAACAAUAUUUACACAUGAUUAAGUAAUAAUCCCUUGAAUGUACUCUCUAAUAUUAAUAUUUAACAGGCAAAAUAAAUGUAUAAAUACACUUUUUUUGUACUUUCUACUAUUAUACCACAUUGAAGCGUGCAGAUAAGCUCAUUCUUUAUCGUCUCAUGCUUCUCUAAGAUUCCCUUGUAGCUCAAUCUUGUCGUCUACUAUUUAUCUCCAAUAUUAUGCAGAAUUAUGGCUUUCUUCAAAUUCAAGGAAAUUGGAAUUCUAUCUAUUUAUUUUUUUAAUAUUUAUUUUUUAGACAAAUAUUGAUUGUUUGCUAUUUUUAGGUAUUUAUUUCAAUUAUCCCCUUAAGAUUUGUUUUUAGUCAAGUGUAUGUCCUCACUACCUCGGGGAAAAUAUCAUAUGGAUUCCAG
Molecule: long non-coding RNA, 1689 nt
Filed under: Olea europaea subsp. europaea
Lineage: Eukaryota; Viridiplantae; Streptophyta; Magnoliopsida; Lamiales; Oleaceae
Source: RNAcentral